CAUUAGGUGACUGAAAGAAAGUAAUGGUCUCUUAAACCAAUUUAUAGUAAUUAACGACUACUUCUAAUGG
This 70-nucleotide transfer RNA is filed under the name Cryptocercus meridianus. Its description in RNAcentral is "tRNA-Lys". RNAcentral also lists the same sequence under 1 other name. The record is from RNAcentral. Lineage: Eukaryota; Metazoa; Arthropoda; Insecta; Blattodea; Cryptocercidae.